This 513-nucleotide ribosomal RNA is filed under the name uncultured bacterium. RNAcentral's name for it is "bacterial SSU rRNA". It matches the Rfam family "Bacterial small subunit ribosomal RNA", at positions 355 to 883 of the family's 1533-position model. The record is from RNAcentral.
UGGGGAAUCUUGGACAAUGGGGGCAACCCUGAUCCAGCCAUGUCGCGUGAGUGAUGAAGGCCUUAGGGUCGUAAAGCUCUUUCGCCUGUGAAGAUAAUGACGGUAGCAGGUAAAGAAACCCCGGCUAACUCCGUGCCAGCAGCCGCGGUAAUACGGAGGGGGUUAGCGUUGUUCGGAAUUACUGGGCGUAAAGCGCACGUAGGCGGACCAGAAAGUUGGGGGUGAAAUCCCGGGGGCUCAACCCCGGAACUGCCUCCAAAACUAUUGGUCUAGAGUUCGAGAGAGGUGAGUGGAAUUCCAAGUGUAGAGGUGAAAUUCGUAGAUAUUUGGAGGAACACCAGUGGCGAAGGCGGCUCACUGGCUCGAUACUGACGCUGAGGUGCGAAAGUGUGGGGAGCAAAACAGGAUUAGAUACCCUGGUAGUCCACACCGUAAAACGAUGAAUGCCAGUCGUCGGGUAGCAUGCUAUUCGGUGACACACCUAACGGAUUAAGCAUUCCGCCUGGGGAGUAC